Molecule: transfer RNA, 72 nt
Filed under: Jannaschia donghaensis
Lineage: Bacteria; Pseudomonadati; Pseudomonadota; Alphaproteobacteria; Rhodobacterales; Roseobacteraceae
Rfam family: tRNA
About the family: Transfer RNA (tRNA) molecules are approximately 80 nucleotides in length. Their secondary structure includes four short double-helical elements and three loops (D, anti-codon, and T loops).
Source: Rfam by way of RNAcentral
UGGGAUGUGGCGCAGUGGUAGCGCAUCGGUUUUUGGUACCGCAGGUCGUAGGUUCGAAUCCUACCAUCCCAG